UUCAGGGGUAAACCUGAGAAGCCCGAAAGGUCGAAUGGGGAAAUUCAAUCGCGUUUCGGCCGCCGGCGUGGUACGGUCGAGUGACGGUCGGCGUACGCGUCGUCCGCGCCUUCCGUUCUUCGAACCGGCGUCGAACGCGUGCACUUUUCCCCUAGUAGGACGUCGCGAUCCGUUGGGUGUCGGUCUACGGCUCGCGGUGGAGCCCGUGCGGUCGCUUCGCGGCGUAUCGCACGGACCCGCGGUGUCCCGACCGACUCGCUCGACGGUAUACAGAUGGCGCGGGGCCGCUACCUUUCAGUUAGCGUUCGGCCCGCGGCAAGCGCGUUCGUUGUUUGACGGCGAUCGGACCUGGUGCCGGUCCCGUCCGCGAACGACUGUUGGCUGCGGUGUUCUCGAACAGACCUCGAAUCGAAACGCCGAUCUGCGACGCUAUAGCUUUGGGUACUUUCAGGACCCACGGACCAAGGAGUCUAGCAUGUACGCGAGUCAUUGGGACAUAACUAAACCUAAAGGCGUAAUGAAAGUGAAGGUCCGCCUUGCGCGGAUCGAGGGAGGAUGAGCGAAUCGCCCUUAAAAGCGGCCGCUCCGCACUCCCGGGGCGUCUCGUUCUCAUCGCGAGAAGAGGCGCACCAAGAGC
Molecule: ribosomal RNA, 637 nt
Filed under: Chlorophorus simillimus
Lineage: Eukaryota; Metazoa; Arthropoda; Insecta; Coleoptera; Cerambycidae
Description: eukaryotic LSU rRNA
Source: RNAcentral